Molecule: small RNA, 621 nt
Filed under: Malus domestica (apple)
Lineage: Eukaryota; Viridiplantae; Streptophyta; Magnoliopsida; Rosales; Rosaceae
Description: sRNA MD05G0012300
Source: RNAcentral
UUUUGAUCACCUUAUACUGUUUUCUUAUAUUUCAGGUGGAGACUCUCUCAGAAAGCACCAACAACAACACUGUUUGGCUUGCACAGGUUCGUGAAUUUGAUGAAAUUUAAAAUUAAAUUGAGGAAAGGAGUCUGAAGAAAGCGAAGUUUUUGUAGACUGCUAUUGGUUUUUCUGGUUGGUUCGAAAUACUUUUGAGCUUGAGAGACAACCCAGAAUUCAAAUCAGAAAAAAAAAACCCCCCGCGAAUUGGAUCCCGAUUCGAAGAAAAUUUUAAGCCCAAAAAAAAGAUGUGCUCCCUGGUGAGUUCUCUGGCCGAUUUGGUUAUCUGUAAAUUUUGUGAGAAAUGUAGGAUUUUGUUCAUUUUUAUAUGCGGAUUCAUAGAUGAUAGAUUUCGUAUGAGCUACAUGCGUCCAACUAUUUUGUAGGAUCUACAAUUGCAAUGCCUUUGAUGGAUAAAGCACAUAGGACCCGGCUACUCUUAUAAAGCUUCUUUAGCAUCGUAAUGCUAUUCAUGGAGUGGUUCAAAGAAUUCCAAAAGCUUCAUUCACCCAAUUUAUGCUCUUCAUGUAAAAAUUCUUUCAAAAAGCUUAAACAUCUUUCAGUGUAAAUAACAAUAUCAUU